Beta vulgaris subsp. vulgaris (sugar beet) is the source of this 4182-nucleotide RNA transcript. It is a transcript of the gene named protein STABILIZED1, with no coding region annotated. NCBI's taxonomy places the organism in Eukaryota, Viridiplantae, Streptophyta, Magnoliopsida, Caryophyllales, Amaranthaceae. The transcript has 6 exons. The record is from RefSeq and is a predicted model, not a curated record.
ACAUGCACUAACUUUUUUCUGUCCAGAAAAAUCUUCAUCUCACCGACUUAUUGCAGUAUUAGUGAGUCGGGAGGUUUUAUAUAGAAACUACCAACAAAGAAAGCUUCUGUCCACCAUCCCUCCUCCGUAACACUCAACGCCUCCAUUGAUACUUGUAUUUCUAUCUUCAUGUGCUUCUAAUCGCUGUGCUACGACGUUUACAGGUACUUUUUGAUAUUUUAAACCCUAACUUUCUUUGAUUCUAUUUUUCUUUUGUUGCAAUUUCACAAAAAUAUGGUGUAUGUCAUUACUUUAGACAGAAAAACCCUAUCUCUUGAUAUAAACCCUAAUUCCACAACAUUGGGGAAUCUACAACAGACAAUUAAUGAUAGAUUAGGCCUUCCAAUUGAACACCAACGUUUUUUAUCAUCUUCCAAAAGAUUAAUUGGUGAUGUUAAUUGUGUAAUUGCUGAUUUGGGUAUUCGAUCGAAUUCAACCCUAACAUUACAUGUUCCCCUUUGUGGUGGUAUGCAAGCUCCUGUGCAGCCUAAGGGCAAGCUUGAAUUUCUCAAUUUGAAACCCCCUACUAAUUAUGUUGCCGGGUUGGGCCGUGGAGCCACUGGAUUUACGACCCGGUCGGAUAUUGGGCCUGCUCGAUCGGCCCCUGAUUUGCCUGACCGGUCGGCAACUACGAUUGGGGGUGCUGCGGUACCUACCACGGGCCGUGGAAGGGGGAAGGGGGGAGCUGAGGAGGAUGAAGGGGAUGAGGAAGGGGAUGAGAAAGGGUAUGAUGAGAACCAAAAGUUUGAUGAGUUUGAGGGUAAUGAUGUUGGGUUGUUUGCUUCUGCGGAGUAUGAUGAGGAUGAUAAGGAGGCCGAUGCGGUGUGGGAGGAGAUUGAUAAGAGGAUGGACUCCAGGAGGAAGGAUAGGAGGGAGGCUAGGUUGAAGGAAGAGAUUGAAAAGUACCGAGCUUCGAACCCUAAGAUUACGGAGCAGUUUGCGGAUUUGAAGAGAAAGCUGCAUACUUUGUCAGUGGAGGAAUGGGAUAGUAUUCCGGAGAUUGGGGAUUAUUCUUUGAGGAAUAAGAAGAAGAGAUUUGAGAGUUUUGUGCCUGUGCCCGAUACACUUCUGGAGAAGGCUAGACAGGAGAAAGAGCAUGUUACAGCGCUUGAUCCAAAGAGCAGAUCUGCUGGUGGGACAGAGACACCUUGGGGGCAGACCCCUGUUACUGAUUUGACUGCUGUUGGUGAGGGUAGGGGUACUGUCUUGUCACUGAAGCUUGAUAGACUAUCCGAUUCCGUAACGGGGCAGACAGUUGUUGAUCCAAAAGGUUAUUUAACGGAUCUUAAGAGUAUGAAGAUUACAAGUGAUGCAGAGAUUUCGGAUAUUAAGAAGGCUAGGUUGCUGUUGAAAUCUGUCAUACAAACCAAUCCAAAGCAUCCUCCUGGUUGGAUUGCAGCUGCUAGGCUAGAGGAGGUUGCUGGCAAGAUUCAGGCGGCUAGACAGUUUAUCAAAAAGGGAUGUGAGGAGUGUCCGACUAAUGAGGAUGUGUGGGUGGAGGCAUGUCGUAUGGCGAGCCCUGAUGACGCCAAGGCUGUGAUAGCUAGAGGUGUCAAAGCAAUUCCGAAUUCCGUGAAGUUGUGGCUUCACGCUGCUAAAUUAGAGCAAGAUGAUGAGAGUAAGAGCCGGGUACUGAGGAAGGGGCUUGAAUAUAUUCCAGACUCGGUGAGGCUGUGGAAGGCAGUUGUUGAGCUUGCUGAUGAAGAGUCAGCCACUCUCUUGCUUGGUAGGGCUGUGGAAUGCUGUCCCUUGCAUGUUGAAUUGUGGCUUGCUCUUGCUAGGCUGGAAACAUAUGAGAGGGCGAAACAAGUGCUUAACACGGCUAGGAUGAAGCUUUCAAAGGAGCCCGCAAUUUGGAUUACUGCUGCAAAGUUGGAAGAGGCUAAUGGAAAUACUGCGAUGGUUGAGAAGAUCAUAGAGAGGGGUAUAAGGGCUCUACAAAGAGAGGGAGUUGUAAUUGACAGAGAAGCUUGGAUGAAAGAAGCAGAGGCUGCUGAGCGUGCUGGGUCUGUUGUCACUUGCCAAGCUAUAGUUAAACACACUGUUGGCAUUGGGGUAGAGGAAGAAGAUCGGAAGAGAACAUGGGUGGCUGAUGCCGAAGAGUGCAAGAAGAGAGGGUCUAUUGAAACUGCAAGGGCUAUAUAUGCUCAUUCUCUCUCCAUCUUCUUGACAAAGAAGAGUAUAUGGCUUAAAGCAGCACAACUGGAGAAGAGUCAUGGAACUAGGGAAUCUCUUGAUGCCUUGUUGCGGAGGGCGGUUACAUAUGUCCCUCAGGCUGAAGUUCUCUGGCUUAUGGGUGCUAAGGAAAAAUGGCUUGCUGGUGAUGUGCCUGCUGCUCGAGCCAUUCUCCAGGAAGCUUAUGCUGCUAUUCCAAACUCUGAGGAGAUUUGGCUUGCUGCUUUUAAGCUGGAGUUUGAAAACCAUGAACCUGAAAGGGCAAAAAUGCUCCUUGCUAAGGCUCGAGAAAAAGGAGGAACUGAAAGAGUUUGGAUGAAAUCAGCAAUUGUUGAGAGAGAACUUGGUAAUGUUGCAGAAGAGAGGAGGCUGCUUGAUGAAGGCCUGCAACGCUUUCCAUCGUUUUUCAAGUUGUGGUUGAUGCUUGGGCAGCUGCAUGAACGAUUUGGAGAGCAAGCCAAGGCUAAAGAAGCGUAUGAAUCUGGUCUUAAGAAUUGUCCACACUGCAUAACUCUGUGGCUUUCACUUGCAAAUCUUGAAGAGACGAGGACUGGUCUGAGUAAAGCUCGAGCAGUUCUGACUAUGGCUCGGAAAAGGAAUCCUAGGAAUCCUGAACUGUGGCUUGCUGCUGUUAGAGCUGAACUUAGACACGGGCACAAGAAGGAGGCUGAUAACCUGUUGGCAAAGGCUCUCCAAGAAUGUCCUAACAGUGGUAUCUUAUGGGCAGCUCAAAUUGAGAAUGUUCCCCGUCCUCAACGGAAAGCAAAGAGUUCAGAUGCAUUAACAAAGUGUGACCAGGAUCCCCACGUCAUCGCUGCUGUAGCCAAGCUAUUUUGGCAUGACAGAAAGGUGGACAAGGCAAGGAGCUGGCUCAACAGGGCAGUGACACUUGCUCCGGAUAUUGGGGAUUUCUGGGCUUUGUACUACAAAUUUGAACUCCAGCAUGGAACCGAGGACUUACAGAAGGAUGUUCUGAGACGUUGUGUGGCUGCAGAGCCCAAGCAUGGUGAGAAGUGGCAGCCGAUUGCUAAGGCAGUUGAGAAUGCUCACCAGCCAACUGAAGCAAUCUUGAAGAAAGUUGUAAUUGCUCUAGGGAAGGAAGAAAAUGCUGCUGGGAACAACAAUGCAAUCUAGGAGAUGGUAGAAACAAAAAACGCAAAAAUUAGGCCGUCGAUAUCUCAUGUAGACAGUUGCCAAACAGGGGAGAUUGAUACAGAGGCUUCUUAUACUUCUUGUUAUGGCGCUACACUGACUGAAGGUGUGGAUGGGUGAACAAGCCUAUGUGUCACACCACCUUUGAAUUGAAUGCAGUACCGAAAGUGAGAAGUUCAUCCUUGUGAGAGCAAAUUUGGUGAAAAGAGUAUGAUAUUGUCGAGGAUGUCACGAGCUUCUAGAAUUACAGCGAAAUAUUAGGGUUCAAAUUGAGAUGGCUUAGGACUGAAUUUGAAUGCCAUUAGAGGAGUUGCACAACUUACAACGGAAACACUUCAUCUCUCUUCUGUAUUGCACAAUAAGGAUGAACAUUAUCGUCGAGGACUGCUAGCGAAGGUGCAGCAGGGGAAGAAGCUGUUGAAAUAUCUUAAGAGAAGAGACUGGGAGUCCUACAACUUUUUUCUUUCUAAACUUGGCCUCCUUGACAAGCCUAAUUACCAGAAUUAAAAGAAUGUAUGCAAAUCAUUUGUUUUCACUGGGGGAACAAACUCUGAGAUUUCGCUUUCAAUCCGAGUUCUUGCUGCCCAUUCCUUGUUGAGAAGUUCUUUUUAGGUUCGAACUCGGUUAGGAUAAGUACUGAACUUUUAAUGUAUCAGCAAGUCCUAUGCUGAUUUCCAGUUUAAUUGUUAAAAUCAGUUGUAUUGAUUUUCAAUUCUAUUUGAAUUGAAAUCUUGUUUACGGUAGACUGUGUUUGAGAUGGUUAGGUAUAUUUAAGUAUUGGAAAUGAGACACAUCUCUCAGAUUCGUUUCUUGUUA